GGACAGGUGGCCGAGUGGUUUAAGGCAGCGGUCUUGAAAACCGCCGUGCGGGUAACCGUACCGUGGGUUCGAAUCCCACCCUGUCCG
Molecule: transfer RNA, 87 nt
Filed under: Sphingosinicella soli
Lineage: Bacteria; Pseudomonadati; Pseudomonadota; Alphaproteobacteria; Sphingomonadales; Sphingosinicellaceae
Also listed under: 1 other name
Rfam family: tRNA
About the family: Transfer RNA (tRNA) molecules are approximately 80 nucleotides in length. Their secondary structure includes four short double-helical elements and three loops (D, anti-codon, and T loops).
Source: Rfam by way of RNAcentral